AAGAAAUUUAAUAAUUUUGAUAUUGGAUUUUUUUGUUUUGGCAAGAGCGUGAGAGCUUUUACUGGGCAAGAAGACAAGAGAUGGAGAGUCCAGCCGGGCCUGCGCUUAAGUGCGCGGUCUUGCUAGGCUUGCAAAUUUCUUUCUUGCUAUUCCAAACAGUGAGACUUCUCUGUUUUUGUUAUAGGACAAUUAAAACCGUUUCAAUACAACACACUGUGGAGUUUUUAUACUUUUGCAACUUUUUCUUUGGGCUUCGAGCAAUCGAGCCCAGAGGUAACAAACACAAACAAUUUUAUUUAUUCAUUAAAUUUUUGUCAAAAACAAGAAUUUUCGUAACUGGAAAUUUUAAAAAUAAUUAAAAACUUUCAACAACGGAUCUCUUGGUUCUCGCAUCGAUGAAGAACGCAGCGAAAUGCGAUACGUAAUGUGAAUUGCAGAAUUCCGUGAAUCAUCGAAUCUUUGAACGCACAUUGCGCCCCUUGGUAUUCCAGGGGGCAUGCCUGUUUGAGCGUCAUUUCCUUCUCAAACAUUCUGUUUGGUAGUGAGUGAUACUCUCUGGAGUUAACUUGAAAUUGCUGGCCUUUUCAUUGGAUGUUUUUUUUCCAAAGAGAGGUUUCUCUGCGUGCUUGAGGUAUAAUGCAAGUACGGUCGUUUUAGGUUUUACCAACUGCGGCUAAUCUUUUUUGUACUGAGCGUAUUGAAACGUUAUCGAUAAGAAGAGAGCGUCUAGGCGAACAAUGUUCUUAAAGUUUGACCUCAAAUCAGGUAGG
RNAcentral lists this ribosomal RNA (770 nucleotides) under saccharomycete sp. NZSBMV10-B6. Its description in RNAcentral is "eukaryotic LSU rRNA". The stretch from base 361 to 514 matches the Rfam family "5.8S ribosomal RNA". Lineage: Eukaryota; Fungi; Ascomycota; Saccharomycetes. The record is from RNAcentral.